Molecule: long non-coding RNA, 3095 nt
Filed under: Pelobates cultripes (western spadefoot toad)
Lineage: Eukaryota; Metazoa; Chordata; Amphibia; Anura; Pelobatidae
Source: RNAcentral
CAUAAACAUUCAGCUUGUCCAAUUGCUGUGUUACUGUGGUCGAUAAAGCAAAAAUUACUUCACUUUACCAGCAGAAAGGGCAGACAUAAACUUUUUUUUUUUUUUUGGUAUAACCAAAGCAAAAUCCCACUUAAAAUUGAGCUAUUAGAACUUCCUGUUUCGUUGGCCAGCUUGGCUUGCCACGUUUUCUCCUUGGCUCAGACAAUCUGAUGCAUUCAAGCGAGUUGGCUACUCUCACACAAACCGCAUAUUUUAUCACUUCAACCACCGCUCUAUCCCCUGCUUUAGUUUUUGGAACCCAGGAGUGCUAGAUACCACCUGAAGCACCAGAAGCCCAAGCCUAUGAAGUGGACAUCCAACCUCAACAUACACCCUUAAACCCACACCAAGUCAGACAGGCCAAAUGAGCUCCACCAUACCAGGAGACUGCAGUGGAAAUGGACUGCACACUGCGGUAGUAACCUCAUCAAUUACUGCAGUACAGGCCCCUCACUAGUCUAAACUUGACCAACUAAGGCCUAUCACAAGCUUUACGUCCACACUGAGGAAUUAUUUGGCAACCACGCUAAUUACAAAUAUCUUGCCGCACAACACGCGUUCCAUCUGUGAAGUCAUCACAAGCCAUACUUCACUAGAAGGAACAACAAUAUCUGGGCAUACUUUCUUUGAAGUGCAGAAGUAAAAACAAUGUUUUUAGCGAACAUUUGUUAAGACUUGAUAAAGGCUUGCUGUAGGCCCAAAACUUGUUUAAUUCUGCACUUCAAAUAAAGUCUGCCUUCAUAAUAAACCUUAAGUUGUGCCCAGGUAUUGUUUCUUCUAUUGCAUUCACAGGGAGUUCGGCCCGCUUAACUUGGUGAGAGUAGCCCUAUUUUUGGCAUGUGCGAUACCCUCUUCCAGUUGUUAAUACAGGCCGUACUUCCCUUUCCACCUCAAAACAUUGUUACCCAUUUGAUUCACAAGGGAUUCUUCUCACAUUGCAAAACUAGCUUGACCCUCACAAUUUUGCCAUUUUCUACCAGGCUUUCUUGGCUAUAUAGUGAUUUGCCCAGGCCAUGCUAAGCCUUUUUGGUUCAAGUUGACACACAGUCACAAAAUUCCAAAACCACUUCUGAUAAAGCUACCUAUUUCAACACUAGCAACCGAUGCACCAGCUGGACCACAUGUGUAUACUUCAUUUUUGUUUUAUUACGGGUUUUGGGGUUUUUCUCUGCAAUCCAAAACACCAGCCUCUUCUACAAUUAGUUUGCAUCAGAUAAGCAUUUCUGUUCCUUAUGUAACUUCACAUGAACUGCUUCUAUAUGCAAAGUAGUAUUAACGUGUGUCUCUCUACUUGAGCAAGCAUAUAUAUUGGUUGACUUUUGUUUUGCUCUGCAUUUCUACUUCACACAAACGGCUACUCCAAAAUAUUAUUGGAUGAAAACAUUAAUCCUUCAAAUCACUGACCAACCUCACAGGUCUCAUCUGCUGAUACCCCUAAUAUCACAAGUCAUAUUUAAGGGGGUGACCCCAAAGUACUAUACUCUUCUCUAAUUCACUAAGACUCGGUGAAAUCUAGUUCUCCAUUAUGCUCAACUCAUUUGAGCUUUCACACUUUUCCUUCUGUUAAGCUGGCACCCCGCAACAGACAUUUCGCACUCCCUUAAACACAGAUCCUACUAACUCCCACUGACUACACCUGACCAAACAAAAAAGACAAUCACACUUUUAGAACAGACUACAUCCCUUCAUAACAGAACUGGCUCGAUCCAAGAUCACUUGACAGCACACUUCUUCUUUGGCAUUUCCUUUUAUCAUUACUUCCGUUCAAUCGCUGUGGAUAGAAUUAUUGAUUAAAAAGGCCUAAAAGCAAGCCACCAAGACCAGCCAAGAAAGACUGCAACAAAAUACCUUAACAUCAUUACAAAAAAAAGUUGAUGAUCUCGAAAACCAAUUUACAAUUUGUUAGCUUUCCAGAAUCUUUAAGGACAAGUGACAGCUCUACUCUUCAAUCCUGGUUGCUGGAUAUGCUCCAAGUAGCCAUUGUUGCCUCACCAUUGAAAUCAGACAUAGACUUGGCCCAACAAGACCAGAUAAAAUCUCUAAGCCAUGACCUAUUAUAGCAAAAUUUCUGAAUCUUUACGACAUCGUACAAAUUCUUAUUGCUUAUAAGCACACAGCCCAUCCAACUUACCAAGGCAAUAUUUUAAUCUUCAAUGAUUUUUCGGCACAGGUCACUCAGAUGCUGAGCUUUGCACAGCACUACACAAAAAGGGCAUAUUUCUCUCUUCUAUUCUGUUAUACUACACCUAAACAUAACAAACCAAGCUUUCUCUACCACAUCUGUGGAGAAGCAACAACAUUUCUAAACAAGGAUUUGCUUGCCUGUAUGAUGCUCUCACCAAGACCGUCUGUCCACUCCUCACCUAUUUGAGAGGAACAGUAACUCCAAGAAUACCCGCUCUUUUUGGUUUAAGUUUCUGUCCAGAUGGCCUCAAGGUUUUCGGAUCCACAGAACCCUUCACCCGAUUAAAUAUUUGGGACUUUCUGUCUGCAUGAAAUGAGACGGACGGAGACCCAUUCUCUGCUACAAAGCUUCCCAUGCCAAGGUAUCAGCUGACUCUGAUGUCUUCCAGAUCUUCUCUUUUAACAUCAAACACAUCCGUUAAAAAGAGGUAAGUUCUAACUAAACUAACAAACCAUCAACCACAUAACCCAUCACUCUCAUCACCAUCAGUCUAUUUGGGCUAAUUUCAUGGGCGACAAUCUUGAACAUAUAGAUGGACCUAAACUUUUUGGGAAAACAUCCAAAGUGGUCAUAAGAGGUCAAAUACUCUUACAGCAAAGAAAAGGUUGUGGAAAGAUUUUGUAGUACUAGAAUUGGAUCCGAAAUUCUCAUGUGCUGGAUAUCUAACGGACGUCUUUAUAAAAAAACAGACAAAUCAAGGUGCAAAAUACACUUUAAAUAAUUUCAUAAUCAUGCACAUGAAAAUAAAAUUUCCAAACACAACACUUCUUUACGUGAGAUGGAAAGUCUAAGAAACUAAUGGCCAAUUCCAGAAACAAAUUCAAACCCAUAAAAGCGAUUGUUUUCGCUGAGUGUCAUAGACGUACUUUUC